UGACCGAUAAGAAAGUGUCUUAUUGGUUGGUUAUUGAUUUUACAUAUUUAAAAAUAAAAAACUGAUAAAUCGAACCAAUAACACAUAAAACCGAAUCAAACCGACCGAUGAACACCCCUAGUUGAUUGUUAUGUAUUGAUGACUUCAUCGGUGUAAAUAUAUGCGUGAAAAUGUAAGUGUGGGAUAGCAUGUUUGAUUGGUAUACGCCUAUGAAAUAAUAUGAAUCAAUUGUUGUACAGUAGCAUUUGUUAACUUAUCCACCUGCUUUGUUAGUUUGCUUUGGUUUAUACAUACUUGAGUAUUAAUUGUGCAUCUCAUCUUUAAAUUGAUAGCUAAACCUUAUCUUUUCUUUCUUUUGCAUGAACCCAUAUUGAAUGAGUCCACUUGGACUCCAUCUAUCCUCGCAUUCGAAUUUCGUCAUGUCCGAGCCUCAAUCAAAGUCUUAAAUACCUUUAUUUUUGAAGAAACAAGGCUGUAUACACGUGUAUACAACAGAUAUACGCAUAUAUUUGGCAAGAAUGAAAAGGGAAGCUGAUUAUAUCGUGAAGGGACUAAAUAUGUGUGUAUAUGACUGAGAUAAAGUCGCAUAUACACCAAGUAUACAAGAAAAACACAGAUAUUGAAGCUGUAAAUAUACAUCUGGUAUACAUUUUAGAAAAUGGACCCAAGUUCAUAAGAAUGAGGUCCAAAAGCUGGACAGCUUGUUAAUGGGCCAAUAAAGGCCCAAAUCUCAAGCUUCUGUUCUCUUUUUCCUUGUAUGUUAUUGUUGUUAAUAUGUAGUAACUCUAAUUUUAUUUACUUAAAUUAAGUAAUUCCUUAAAUUGCCGUCAUUCUAUUUUAUCCUGAUUUUGUCACUUAACCUAUAAUUUUCUCACAUAA
This 879-nucleotide long non-coding RNA is filed under the name Capsicum annuum. Its description in RNAcentral is "long non-coding RNA (CANN_LNC010904)". The record is from RNAcentral. Lineage: Eukaryota; Viridiplantae; Streptophyta; Magnoliopsida; Solanales; Solanaceae.